This 427-nucleotide ribosomal RNA is filed under the name uncultured bacterium. Its description in RNAcentral is "partial 16S ribosomal RNA". It matches the Rfam family "Bacterial small subunit ribosomal RNA", at positions 355 to 774 of the family's 1533-position model. The record is from RNAcentral.
UGGGGAAUAUUGCACAAUGGGCGCAAGCCUGAUGCAGCCAUGCCGCGUGUAUGAAGAAGGCCUUCGGGUUGUAAAGUACUUUCAGCGGGGAGGAAGGCGAUAAGGUUAAUAACCUUGUCGAUUGACGUUACCCGCAGAAGAAGCACCGGCUAACUCCGUGCCAGCAGCCGCGGUAAUACGGAGGGUGCAAGCGUUAAUCGGAAUUACUGGGCGUAAAGCGCACGCAGGCGGUCUGGCAAGUCGGAUGUGAAAUCCCCGGGCUGAACCUGGGAACUGCAUUCGAAACUGGCAGGCUAGAGUGUGGUAGAGGGGGGUAGAAUUCCAGGUGUAGCGGUGAAAUGCGUAGAGAUGUGGAGGAAUACCGGUGGCGAAGGCGGCCCCCUGGACAAAGACUGACGCUCAGGUGCGAAAGCGUGGGGAGCAAACA